This is a long non-coding RNA of Stomoxys calcitrans (stable fly), 505 nucleotides long. RefSeq lists it as uncharacterized. NCBI's taxonomy places the organism in Eukaryota, Metazoa, Arthropoda, Insecta, Diptera, Muscidae. The record is from RefSeq and is a predicted model, not a curated record. The transcript has 3 exons.
AGAGUGCGUAUCGUUAAGCCCAGAACUGACUUCAAUCGCUGCGAAAAUGUCUACUAAAUUAUUGCAAAAUCCGACGGCAGAACACAAACAAAAGAUAACCAACAACACACAACAAAGACAACAGUAUUGAAACAGAGUUGAUUGUGCCCAUUUCAAUAUAAUCACAGGAAGAAAUUUUAUAUACUGCAGUGGUAUAGCAGAAAUUAGUUCGCAUCGCUUCUGCUCAGAACAGGCCGAACAUACAGCGUAACACGGCCUGAAAUUUGGGAACUUUUAAAAUUGGAAUGCGAUGCACAAUUUAUGCAGUGAUGGAAUAUUUUAACGCAAAUGAUUUCGCAAUGGAUUUAUACGACUAAUUGCAGACGGACGUACACCUUUGAUGGUAACUAUUAUAUUGUAAAUAAAACUACGUAUUGUCGUGGACCCAUUCCUUGCCAUUGGAGUGAGAAGUCGGACUGACGGGCGAUAGUCACUGGCAUUUGAGCACCGGCUUUUGGCUCCAAUC